GACGAACGCUGGCGGCGUGCCUAAUACAUGCAAGUAGAACGCACAGUUUAUACCGUAGCUUGCUACACCAUAGACUGUGAGUUGCGAACGGGUGAGUAACGCGUAGGUAACCUGCCUGGUAGCGGGGGAUAACUAUUGGAAACGAUAGCUAAUACCGCAUAAUAUUAAUUAUUGCAUGAUAAUUAAUUGAAAGGUGCAAUUGCACCACUACCAGAUGGACCUGCGUUGUAUUAGCUAGUAGGUGAGGUAACGGCUCACCUAGGCGACGAUACAUAGCCGACCUUGGAGGGGGAUCGGCCACACUGGGACUGAGACACGGCCCAGACUCCUACGGGAGGCAGCAGUAGGGAAUCUUCGGCAAUGGACGAAAGUCUGACCGAGCAACGCCGCGUGAGUGAAGAAGGUUUUCGGAUCGUAAAGCUCUGUUGUAAGAGAAGAACGGGUGUGAGAGUGGAAAGUUCACACUGUGACGGUAUCUUACCAGUAAGGGACGGCUAACUACGUG
This 505-nucleotide ribosomal RNA is filed under the name uncultured bacterium. RNAcentral's name for it is "partial 16S ribosomal RNA". It matches the Rfam family "Bacterial small subunit ribosomal RNA", at positions 28 to 507 of the family's 1533-position model. The record is from RNAcentral.